CCCUUAGAUGUUCUGGGCCGCACGCGUGCUACACUGAGUGGAUCAGCGGGUCAGGUUGCGCGAAAGCGUUUCCUAAUCUUUAAAUCCGCUCGUGAUGGGGAUUGACGGUUGCAAUUUUCUGUCAUGAACGAGGAAUACCUUGUAAGCGCGGGUCAUCAUCCCGCGCUGAAUACGUCCCUGCCCUUUGUACACACCGCCCGUCGCUCCUACCGAUUGAGUGGUCCGGUGAGGCUUUGGGAUCUGAGCGGAAAGAGCGUUUCGCUGUUUCUGCUCGGAAAACUCAGUCGAACCUUAUCAUUUAGAGGAAGGAGAAGGCGUAACA
This 322-nucleotide ribosomal RNA is filed under the name uncultured eukaryote. RNAcentral describes it as "partial 18S ribosomal RNA". It matches the Rfam family "Eukaryotic small subunit ribosomal RNA", at positions 1470 to 1796 of the family's 1831-position model. The record is from RNAcentral.